Molecule: long non-coding RNA, 835 nt
Filed under: Homo sapiens (human)
Lineage: Eukaryota; Metazoa; Chordata; Mammalia; Primates; Hominidae
Description: HSALNT0323318
Source: RNAcentral
GUUGCUAAGUGUGUUCAUCUCAAAUCUAAAAGCCACUUUCAUAACAACAACUUUGCUAUUCCUUAGCAUUUUGUCUCUUUAGGCAGCUUAUUUCCCAGUCAAAGUUAUAAUUUUGUAUUCAUAAUACCAUAAUCAUUUCCAUGGUAACUUCCUGUGAAGUCACAGAGAAAACACUAUUGACUUCUCCUGAGGCUCUGAUUUCCCAGUUGAAAUCAUAUGUUGAUUUUAUUUUUUCCAAUGUAAGUCAAAGAUUUACUAUUAAAAAUCCUGGGGAUGAGGUCUUAACACAGAAAACCCAUCUGUCGUCGCUACAGAGGACUACUAUGAAGAAAGCGCCUGGCAUAAUCUUGGCACAUCGAAGGCAUUCAAAAAAUACCAGUCGUCUCUCUUCACUCCCUCUAACUCUAACUCAUUUUAACCUCAUUUAAACUUUGAGGAAAAAGAACUCAAGGUCAGACAAGGCUUGGUUCAACACCCUGAGCUGGGUUGGCUUGACAGGACUAGCACUAGACCUGACCCAGAGGUAAAGGCAAUUGUGGGAAGAGCGGACGGACCUGGGAAGAAAUCUAGAAGCCAACGAGCAGAACACCAAAGCUUGUCACUGGGCAACAGAGAACUGGUCCAACAAAGCUGUCACCAUCAGAAAUGUGUGUCACCAGGUCAGAGAAACAGGAAAUCAAGGCAGGUAACGGGAGACAAAAUCAAGGAAAGUCAGUUGGCAAAAGGGCCCAGGACACGAGUCUGGAACUCGGGUAACUGAAAGAAUAGGAAGUACUAGAGACAGAAAGAAAAGCCUAAACCUGAAAGGUGUACAAGACAAGUUACUAAACCAGGG